GCGGUAUCUUGACCGUGCAAAGGUAGCAUAAUCAUUAGUUUCUUAAUUGGGAACUUGUAUGAAUGGUUGGACAAAGAAAAAUCUGUCUCUUGUAUUAAAAUUGAAUUUAACUUCUGAGUGAAAAGGCUCAGAUUAGCCAGAGGGACGAUAAGACCCUAUAAAGCUUUAUAAAUUUAUUAAUUUCUUCUAUUUUUUUAUAAUGAUGAUGUUAAGAAGAUUUAUUUGGUUGGGGCAACCGAAGUAUAAUUUAAGAUAACUGCUAAUAUUUUAUACAAUGAUUUUUGUUUUAAUAAUAAUUGAUCCUUAAAAAGAUUAAAGACCAAGUUACUUUAGGGAUAACAGCGUAAUUUAUCCUGAGAGUCCUUAUCAAAGGAGAAGUUUGCGACCUCGAUG
RNAcentral lists this ribosomal RNA (393 nucleotides) under Callinectes aff. similis/danae H32. RNAcentral describes it as "partial 16S ribosomal RNA". It matches the Rfam family "Bacterial large subunit ribosomal RNA", at positions 1933 to 2531 of the family's 2925-position model. The record is from RNAcentral. Lineage: Eukaryota; Metazoa; Arthropoda; Malacostraca; Decapoda; Portunidae.